UACGUAGGGGGCAAGCGUUGUCCGGAAUCAUUGGGCGUAAAGCGCGUGUAGGCGGCCCGGUAAGUCCGCUGUGAAAGUCGGGGGCUCAACCCUCGAAUGCCGGUGGAUACUGUCGGGCUAGAGUGCGGAAGAGGCGAGUGGAAUUCCUGGUGUAGCGGUGAAAUGCGCAGAUAUCAGGAGGAACACCAAUUGCGAAGGCAGCUCGCUGGGACGUGACUGACGCUGAGGAGCGAAAGCGUGGGGAGCGAACAGG
RNAcentral lists this ribosomal RNA (253 nucleotides) under uncultured bacterium. RNAcentral's name for it is "partial 16S ribosomal RNA". It matches the Rfam family "Bacterial small subunit ribosomal RNA", at positions 524 to 776 of the family's 1533-position model. The record is from RNAcentral.